UAGGGAAUCUUCGGCAAUGGACGAAAGUCUGACCGAGCAAAGCCGCGUGAGUGAAGAAGGUUUUCGGAUCGUAAAACUCUGUUGUUAGAGAAGAACAAGGACGUUAGUAACUGAACGUCCCCUGACGGUAUCUAACCAGAAAGCCACGGCUAACUACGUGCCAGCAGCCGCGGUAAUACGAAGGUGGCAAGCGUUGUCCGGAUUUAUUGGGCGUAAAGCGAGCGCAGGCGGUUUCUUAAGUCUGAUGUGAAAGCCCCCGGCUCAACCGGGGAGGGUCAUUGGAAACUGGGAGACUUGAGUGCAGAAGAGGAGAGUGGAAUUCCAUGUGUAGCGGUGAAAUGCGUAGAUAUAUGGAGGAACACCAGUGGCGAAGGCGGCUCUCUGGUCUGUAACUGACGCUGAGGCUCGAAAGCGUGGGGAGCAAACAGG
This 429-nucleotide ribosomal RNA is filed under the name Gemmatimonadota bacterium. Its description in RNAcentral is "Gemmatimonadetes bacterium partial 16S ribosomal RNA". It matches the Rfam family "Bacterial small subunit ribosomal RNA", at positions 355 to 776 of the family's 1533-position model. Lineage: Bacteria; Pseudomonadati; Gemmatimonadota. The record is from RNAcentral.